Molecule: long non-coding RNA, 528 nt
Filed under: Prunus dulcis (almond)
Lineage: Eukaryota; Viridiplantae; Streptophyta; Magnoliopsida; Rosales; Rosaceae
Description: sRNA ncRNA
Source: RNAcentral
AUGGCUGAGGUUACAAGUUGUUUUAGCAGAGUAGCACUACUCAUGAUCCUAUAUAUCCUACACAAUUCAUGUGUUGCUGAGAGUACAUUAGUUUUCAUUGUCCUAAGCUUCGGAGCCAUGCCUAAUAGUGUAAUAGAUUCUACACAAGCUUUUCUGGAUGUAUACCAAAAGGGAGAUAUUUGCUUCGCAAUGCUAUAGUUUUCAAAGGUGAUAACUGCAAAAGCACAGAUAUUACUUUUCGAAUUUAUGGAACAUUGAUAGCUUCGUCUGAUUACCGAAUCCUUGGAGGAGGAAGGGGUCCAAAAUGUGACAGUUAAAAAUGCAAUUUUCAAGGGUACUCAAAAUGGUUUGAGGAUUAAGUCUUUGGCAAGGCCAAGCAACGGAUUUGUUCAGGGUGUUCAAUUCCUUGAUGUCGCAAUGUUUAAUGUCCAAAAUCCUAUUGUAAUAGACCAAAACUAUUGCCCACUUUGAGUCGAGUCCUGUCAUUGUGAAACUGUGAAGAACUCAAUCUCUCAACUCUUUUGUUGA